AACAUCCCUCGUUCCUCUCGCUCAUCCUUCUUAUCUUCCCUUUCUCAUGGCAAAGACAAAGCUGUCCCACCCUUCAGCUUCGACGUAGCGUGGAGUUUAUAUCUCUGGCCUUUGCUCUCCGCUGUGCUGCUGUUGACAGUUUCCUGGCCAGCGAGCAAAGAACAGUGUAAAUUCGUGCUGCACACCAAUCUGUGACUAAUGAAUGAAGACCUUGGCAGGAGAAAUCCCGGUUAGAAGGCUGAAAAACUCAAUCCAAACUUCUUUUCUCAGAACGUUGAAGGAUUGUAAAGAGUAGUUUUGAAGAUGAAGACUCGGAGGGAGAGUGCCUCUCUGCGUGAGCUUACUUACAUAUAAAAGGGGGACCGAAAGGUGUAA
RNAcentral lists this long non-coding RNA (375 nucleotides) under Rattus norvegicus (Norway rat). Its description in RNAcentral is "long non-coding RNA NONRATT012639". The record is from RNAcentral. Lineage: Eukaryota; Metazoa; Chordata; Mammalia; Rodentia; Muridae.